Molecule: long non-coding RNA, 3732 nt
Filed under: Equus caballus (horse)
Lineage: Eukaryota; Metazoa; Chordata; Mammalia; Perissodactyla; Equidae
Description: lncRNA (ENSECAG00000050218.1)
Source: RNAcentral
UGCCAAUCUUUUUUUUUUCCCUCCUUUACCUCCCCAAAUCCCCCCAGCACAUAGUUGUAUAUCUUAGUUGCAGGUCCUUCUAGUUGUGGCAUGUGGGAUGCCGCCUCAACAUGGCCUGACGAGCGGUGCCAUGUCGGCGCCCAGGAUCCGAACCAGCGAAACCCUGGGCCGCCGCAGCGGAGCACACGAACUUAACCACUCGGCCACGGGGCCAGCCCCAAAGGGGUCCAGUUUUUAACGUGUUUCACACACAUUCAUAUUUAACACUUGGAACAAUUUUUGAGACUAGUAUGUGUCCCAUUUUACAGCUGAGGAUACUGAGGACCAGAAGGUGACGGCUUGCCCAAGGUCACCCAGCUUGUAAGUGGCAGAAACAGAACUUAAACCCAGAUCUUUGGCCUCUAAGCUAGGAUUUGUGGACCAGAUAAAGCUGCUCCCAAAGGGCAAUCCAUGAAGCCUGGAACAUACUCCUUAUUCAUCCCCAUCAGGGAAGGCAAUGCCAGCACCUUGGUGCCAGCGUCUGAUACAGUCUCCAGGCAUGGAAAGCAACCGGGCCGACGUGUACAGAGACUCUUAAGAGUCUCAUGAAAUCCUAGUGUGCAGAGAAUAUCUCCAAGGCCUUUCUGUGCACAAGAAAGACUGCAGGCUGGCGGUCAGCAGGAGAGCUGUCCCUUAAAAUCCAGGUUUGGCUUCUGUAUAUAUUUAACAGGUAGUCACAUCACUGUGAAGAGCACAGAGCCACGGCAAUCCCCCCACGUAGGACUGGCCUGGCCUGGCAGCCCGCUGGGUCUCGGGCUUGCCAUUUGCUGUGGAACUGGGGACAGCAAUGCCAUCAUUUGUAUGAGAGAGGCCCCCAGCGGACAUUGGUGGUAUUGCUGCCCUUAAGGCCUCUGUGAGCAGCUCCAGAAACGCCCUCCGGCUCCCAGGAGCUCACUUCCUGGGCUGGGAGUGUACAAAGCUGGUGUUGUCUUUGACUAAUUGCCCCCAUACGUGAAGCUAAUGAGUGUUGUCCUCCUCAAAAUCCUCCCUGAGGGAGGUUGCUGUCUGCAUGUGCUAACAAUGCUGCCAUUUCACAGCUUCCCUAGGGCCUGCCUUCACGGCCUUUCCUGGGCUUUUAGAGUCCUAUUUAUGGGCAAAUCUGACCCCUGAGAACAGCUGGCCUUUGUGAAGAUUUGUUUUAGCGUCCUUAGUCCAGCUUUGUUCCAGGACUUGUUUGGUGUGUCCCAGAAUGCUGUUAGUUUUGCUUGUUAUUUUUUGUGGGUUUUUAUUUGACUUGAAUACCACCAUUAUAAAUUAGGAUUCCUAGCAUUUCUGGAAAAGUCAGACAACACUUGUUCUGAGUUCUCACCCAGCAGUCAGUGGCUGAAGCUGAGGAGCUGUGCCCCUCUUUGAGCAGGCAAGGAUUCUCCAGUUUGCCACAGUCCCCACCACUCCCUAUAGUCUCUUAUUGCCUCCCCUGCUGUCAAUUAUAUUACCUUGCUAGCCCCUAUCGAAGCUUUAUCACACAUACAGAAUAAUUGCCAUAAUAAUAGCUGCUGCCACAAGACCAGACAAUAUACCAAGCAUGGUACAUACAUUCUCUCAUUUAACCUAGUGAAAUAGGUAUCAUUAUUCCAACUCACAGAUGCAGAAAUUGGAGUUCACCAUCCUUAAGCAACUUGCCUGUGACCCAACAGCAAGUGUCUGUGCCAUGCAGUUACCAGCUGUGGUCAGGCAGGCAGGCAGACCUGGAUUUAAUUCCACGAGAGAGUGGGAAGUCAGCUUACAGUGACAUGAAAUAUCUCUAUGAGCCACAGGGUUGAACUGAAUUUUAGUUAUGGGCACAUGCAUUUACCUUGUCAGAUAAUGGGCUCCUCCCAUUGGAUUAGGGGGUGUGACUGGCUCAGUAAAGGCCCCAAACGAUCCCCAGGUUUUCCUCUUUUCCCACCCGUAAUGUAUUCAAGAAUGGCUGAUCCCAGUUAUGCAGUAGGCUAAGUAUCUUUGGUGUUAAAGACACUGGAAUAGUACCCUUCUCUUCCUCAGGACUCCUGAUGCCAUGUGCCCAGUGCCCUGAGCUUCCCCAAGGGGCCCAGGGACCCUGCUGUGACAUAGUGUCUAGGCCUCAACUCAGGCAUCACUUCACCUUCCAGAUUUUCCCCUAUGCCCUUGGCUAUCAAAACAUCCUCUGCUAUGUCCCAAGUUUUCAAGCUCUUGCUAAAUGACCGACAACUUACUCUGAUAAAUGAACGGGGAGAGAAGGUGCUAACGGGCUCAUUCAUUCUUCCGACAACUACCUAUCGAGUGUCCAUCUUCUCCUUUUAAAACCAUUCCAGGGCUUCCCACUGCUCUUAGGAGACAAAAUCCUGAGCAAGGCCUAAAAGGCCCUACGUCUUCUGUCCCCUUCAGACACCCCGCCAACACACUCUCCACCCCACAUUUCCAGUGCUCUUCUUCCAGUUCCUCCAACACUCCCCGUCCCCUCCUAGUACUGGUCUUUACACUGGCCCUGUCCUCUGCCUGGAAUCUCUUCCAACCCGUCUUACCCAGUGAUGCCUCCUUGUCCUUCAGAUCUCUGUUCCGUCUGUUCUAGCUUCAUCAGAAACAUUCGCUGGCCUCUCUGACGAGGUCGAAUCGCACCGUUAGACGCAUGCGCACCAGAACCUCUCCAUGGAGACCCCUCACCAGCGGAAUUCUGCGCUUGUCUAUUGAACAGAUCUGUGCCUCACCAGAGAUGAGUUCAAUGACGCCAUCAUGGAGGGGUUUUAUCUGUUUCUAUUAGGCCUAGAUGCCUAAUUCAUAUUUGUUGAAGGAAAGUGGUGGCCAGGGAAGUAGGGAAGGGAAGAAUUUCUAAUACUUUCCUACAGUUGAAAUAGCAAGAACCUAAAUGGCUUGCCCAAGGACAUAGAGUUAGUGACACAGCAGAAAGUUGGACUCAAGUUUCCAAGGCCUGGGGGUGCAGGCAGAGGGAGAUAAGAAAAAGGACAGCGGUGACGGAGAGUCCUCCAAAAGAUGACUCAGCAGGUGACAGCAGAGCAAUCGAAUGAUAUGAGGGACUGAGCUCGUCACGGUGCACUUCCUUCAACUUGCUGUGACACUUAUUUCACCGUGAUUCCCCGCCAAGGGUGCGGUGUGACAUCAGGGUGAGUGAGUCACUUCAUCCGGGGACAGUGUUCUGGCGCCUGCCACCCCUCAGCACCCCGAACAGCCUUACAGGUUGAAACUUCCCCCAAAGGCCUCUCUGACCACACCAGUUCCUCAGGAAACCACCCAACCCUGGCUUCGACUUUUUUUGACUUCUCCUCACUUGCCUUGUAACCCCUUCCCAGGCCCAGCUGGGAACCCGAGCCUGGGCCCGAGCUCCUCAGUGCCAGCUUUGUCCACACAUUUGCUCCUGGAGAGUUCUCAGGCCCAGUCACCUACCAGCUAAGGGCUUGGGGUCAGGCAGACCUGGGUCUAACUCCUGGUCUACCGCUUACUAGCUAACCAUGUUCCUACACUGCUAUGAGCCUGUUUUCCAUCUCUAUAUACGGGACACAGUACUACCUGCCUCCCAGAGAAGAGGGCAGGCAACGCGCUCAGCACCGUGACUGGCACACAGUAAAUGGUCAGCGGACAGCAGUGCGUGCGUGCGUGCACGUGUGAAUGUGUGGCCCUCCUGAGACUUGACUUUUCUGUACUGUGUUUUCUCUCCACAAAUCAACUUGAGAACCACAAGAUAUAUCAUUUCUAUCUUCUCAAGCAUCCUGGUUUCUU